RNAcentral lists this ribosomal RNA (493 nucleotides) under uncultured bacterium. Its description in RNAcentral is "partial 16S ribosomal RNA". It matches the Rfam family "Bacterial small subunit ribosomal RNA", at positions 30 to 523 of the family's 1533-position model. The record is from RNAcentral.
AUUGAACGCUGGCGGCAUGCUUUACACAUGCAAGUCGAACGGUAACAGGUUAAGCUGACGAGUGGCGAACGGGUGCGUAAUGCAUCGGAACGUGCCCGGUCGUGGGGGAUAACGCAGCGAAAGCUGCGCUAAUACCGCAUACGAUCUGAGGAUGAAAGCGGGGGACCGUAAGGCCUCGCGCGAUCGGAGCGGCCGAUGUCAGAUUAGGUAGUUGGUGGGGUAAAGGCUCACCAAGCCAACGAUCUGUAGCUGGUCUGAGAGGACGACCAGCCACACUGGGAAUGAGACACGGCGCAGACUCCUACGGGAGGCAGCAGUGGGGAAUUUUGGACAAUGGGCGAAAGCCUGAUCCAGCAAUGCCGCGUGCAGGAAGAAGGCCUUCGGUUUGUAAACUGCUUUUGUACGGAGCGAAAAGGUCUCCUCUAAUACAGGGGGCUCAUGACGGUACCGUAAGAAUAAGCACCGGCUAACUACGUGCCAGCCGCCGCAGUAA